RNAcentral lists this ribosomal RNA (223 nucleotides) under uncultured bacterium. Its description in RNAcentral is "partial 16S ribosomal RNA". It matches the Rfam family "Bacterial small subunit ribosomal RNA", at positions 524 to 746 of the family's 1533-position model. The record is from RNAcentral.
GACAGAGGGUGCAAACGUUGCUCGGAAUCACUGGGCGUAAAGGGCGUGUAGGCGGGAAGGAAAGUCGGGCGUGAAAUCCCUGGGCUCAACCCAGGAACUGCACUCGAAACUUCUUUUCUUGAGUGCCGGAGAGGAAAGCGGAAUUCCUGGUGUAGAGGUGAAAUUCGUAGAUAUCAGGAGGAACACCAGUGGCGAAGGCGGCUUUCUGGACGGUAACUGACGC